RNAcentral lists this ribosomal RNA (567 nucleotides) under uncultured archaeon. RNAcentral's name for it is "bacterial SSU rRNA". It matches the Rfam family "Archaeal small subunit ribosomal RNA", at positions 326 to 897 of the family's 1478-position model. The record is from RNAcentral.
CGGGGUGCACCAGGCGCGAAAACUUUACAAUGCCGGCAACGGCGAUAAGGGGACCUCGAGUGCCAGGUUACAAAUCUGGCUGUCGAGAUGCCUAAAAAGCAUUUCAUAGCAAGGGCCGGGCAAGACCGGUGCCAGCCGCCGCGGUAACACCGGCGGCUCGAGUGGUAACCGUUAUUAUUGGGUCUAAAGGGUCUGUAGCCGGCCGGAUAAGUCUCUUGGGAAAUCCAGCAGCUCAACUGUUGGGCUUUCAGGAGAUACUGUCUGGCUCGAGGCCGGGAGAGGUGAGAGGUACUUCAGGGGUAGGGGUGAAAUCUUGUAAUCCUUGAAGGACCACCAGUGGCGAAGGCGUCUCACCAGAACGGACCUGACGGCAAGGGACGAAAGCUAGGGGCGCGAACCGGAUUAGAUACCCGGGUAGUCCUAGCCGUAAACGAUACUCGCUAGGUGUCGGCCACGGUGCGACCGUUGUCGGUGCCGUAGGGAAGCCGUGAAGCGAGCCACCUGGGAAGUACGGCCGCAAGGCUGAAACUUAAAGGAAUUGGCGGGGGAGCACAAGGGCGAAUCGCG